Molecule: long non-coding RNA, 641 nt
Organism: Daphnia pulicaria
Lineage: Eukaryota; Metazoa; Arthropoda; Branchiopoda; Diplostraca; Daphniidae
Exons: 2
Source: RefSeq, a predicted model, not a curated record
CUUUCAACUUUCGAAAAAGAGACGAAAUUUACAAAGAAAACAGAACGAUCGUACGUGGCUGUACACGAAAAAUUGCACAACAAAUCAAACUAGAAAAAUGUGAUCGUCGUGUGAACUCUGGUGUCGCGGCUCUGCAUGCUUUCCACUUCAUGCUGUUUGGCAGGUGAAGAUAAACAACAUCCCGUUUUCGCCGAAGUCACCGAUGUCGCUGGAGUGGGAUGGAUCGCUUUCCUUAAAUCCCCUCCUGUCCUCGUGUACACCCAUGUGUGUGUGGGUGUAUUCACGAGGUCGCCCUUUUUCCUAUCCUACCUGGUGUAAUUCAACUAUUCGUUAACCUCAACUUCGAUAUCUCCGUUUUUACCUCACAACUUUGUCUGUGGGUAAACAAUCAAAUUCGGAAAUAUUUUAACUUGAUUAAACACUUCAGGCAAAGUGUAAGGCAUCUCCUCGUAAUAAUUAUUUGAAUGCAAAUUAAGUAUAGCAAUAAGAUAAAGGUAAUAGUGAUCAUUUUUUAGAUUUCAAAAAUUGUAUUUUGCACUCUUGCGUUUUUUUGUUCUAUUACAAUUUACAACUAAGAAACGAGACUAAAUGUACAAUAAAAAUUUACACGUUUGCACCGUGAAAACUGAAAGGUGCAUCAA